ACAUUUUUUAAUUCAAUACACAGUUGGGGCAUAGACUCAAUUUGAUCACUCAGUAACUGAGACGUAAAUUCCCAGAGUUUAACCAAGAAAACUACAGGUACAGGCUGCAGAAACCAUUCCAGUUGCACUUGAUUUUUAAGCAUUUUUUUGCACAAAGAUUGCUGCUGAUGCCUUCCCUUGCCACUAAGCUUUCCACAUUCUCUUGCCAGGCAUUUGAAUAGCACAUCUGCUGCCUUUCAAUCCACUCUUCCACUUCAUGUUCCAGAACCUGCCGCCUUAUUCUUCCACAUCCACUCCUGAGCAGCCUGAAGCCCCUGGAAGCGUGUAGGAUCAUUGACUGAA
RNAcentral lists this unclassified non-coding RNA (342 nucleotides) under Hevea brasiliensis (rubber tree). Lineage: Eukaryota; Viridiplantae; Streptophyta; Magnoliopsida; Malpighiales; Euphorbiaceae. The record is from RNAcentral.